This 428-nucleotide ribosomal RNA is filed under the name uncultured bacterium. Its description in RNAcentral is "bacterial SSU rRNA". It matches the Rfam family "Bacterial small subunit ribosomal RNA", at positions 9 to 430 of the family's 1533-position model. The record is from RNAcentral.
GAGUUUGAUCGUGGCUCAGGACGAACGCUGGCGGCGCGCUUAACACAUGCAAGUCGAGCGAGAACCAGUCCUUCGGGACUGGGGACGAGCGGCGAACGGGUGGAGUAACACGUGAGUAAUCAACCCUCGGUACCGGGAUAGCCCGGGGAAACUCGGAUUAAUACCGGAUGGCCCAUCCGCUUUUCGGAGCGGUUGGAAAAGGUAGCUUCGGCCUCCGACCGGGGACGAGCUCGCGGCGGAUUAGCUUGUUGGCGGGGUAACGGCCCACCAAGGCGACGAUCCGUAGCUGGUCUGAGAGGACGAUCAGCCACACUGGGACUGAGACACGGCCCAGACUCCUACGGGAGGCAGCAGUGGGGAAUCUUGCGCAAUGGGCGAAAGCCUGACGCAGCGACGCCGCGUGAGGGAAGAAGGCCUCGGUUGUAACC